AGUCGAACGAACUCUGGUAUUGAUUGGUGCUUGCAUCAUGAUUUACAUUUGAGUGAGUGGCGAACUGGUGAGUAACACGUGGGAAACCUGCCCAGAAGCGGGGGAUAACACCUGGAAACAGAUGCUAAUACCGCAUAACAACUUGGACCGCAUGGUCCGAGUUUGAAAGAUGGCUUCGGCUAUCACUUUUGGAUGGUCCCGCGGCGUAUUAGCUAGAUGGUGAGGUAACGGCUCACCAUGGCAAUGAUACGUAGCCGACCUGAGAGGGUAAUCGGCCACAUUGGGACUGAGACACGGCCCAAACUCCUACGGGAGGCAGCAGUAGGGAAUCUUCCACAAUGGACGAAAGUCUGAUGGAGCAACGCCGCGUGAGUGAAGAAGGGUUUCGGCUCGUAAAACUCUGUUGUUAAAGAAGAACAUAUCUGAGAGUAACUGUUCAGGUAUUGACGGUAUUUAACCAGAAAGCCACGGCUAACUACGUGCCAGCAGCCGCGGUAAUACGUAGGUGGCAAGCGUUGUCCGGAUUUAUUGGGCGUAAAGCGAGCGCAGGCGGUUUUUUAAGUCUGAUGUGAAAGCCUUCGGCUCAACCGAAGAAGUGCAUCGGAAACUGGGAAACUUGAGUGCAGAAGAGGACAGUGGAACUCCAUGUGUAGCGGUGAAAUGCGUAGAUAUAUGGAAGAACACCAGUGGCGAAGGCGGCUGUCUGGUCUGUAACUGACGCUGAGGCUCGAAAGUAUGGGUAGCAAACAGGAUUAGAUACCCUGGUAGUCCAUACCGUAAACGAUGAAUGCUAAGUGUUGGAGGGUUUCCGCCCUUCAGUGCUGCAGCUAACGCAUUAAGCAUUCCGCCUGGGGAGUACGGCCGCAAGGCUGAAACUCAAAGGAAUUGACGGGGGCCCGCACAAGCGGUGGAGCAUGUGGUUUAAUUCG
Molecule: ribosomal RNA, 929 nt
Filed under: Lactiplantibacillus pentosus
Lineage: Bacteria; Bacillati; Bacillota; Bacilli; Lactobacillales; Lactobacillaceae
Description: bacterial SSU rRNA
Rfam family: Bacterial small subunit ribosomal RNA
Source: RNAcentral